CUAGCCGUAAACGAUGGAUACUAGGCGUAGCUUGUAUCGACCCAAGCUGUGCCGUAGCUAACACGUUAAGUAUCCCGCCUGGGGAGUACGCGCGCAAGCGUGAAACUCAAAGGAAUUGACGGGGGCCCGCACAAGCGGUGGAGUAUGUGGUUUAAUUCGAUGCAACGCGAAGAACCUUACCAGGACUUGACAUGUCGCGAACCCUCUUGAAAGAGAGGGGUGCCUUCGGGAGCGCGAACACAGGUGGUGC
Molecule: ribosomal RNA, 250 nt
Filed under: uncultured Chroococcidiopsis sp.
Lineage: Bacteria; Bacillati; Cyanobacteriota; Cyanophyceae; Chroococcidiopsidales; Chroococcidiopsidaceae
Description: partial 16S ribosomal RNA
Rfam family: Bacterial small subunit ribosomal RNA
Source: RNAcentral